AGGUAAGCCGCUGACCUGCGAAAACGCGCGGGAAGCCGACGGCCUCCGGAGCCGUGUGCGCAGGUUCGAAUCCUGCCGGGG
This 81-nucleotide transfer RNA is filed under the name Streptomyces canus. RNAcentral describes it as "tRNA-Arg". The record is from RNAcentral. Lineage: Bacteria; Bacillati; Actinomycetota; Actinomycetes; Kitasatosporales; Streptomycetaceae.